UCGGCGAAAGCCGAAUUAAUACCGCAUGUGGCUAAGGGAGACAUCUCUCUGACGCUAAAGGUGGCGCAAGCUACCGCUUUUUGAGGAGCCCGCGGCCUAUCAGCUAGUUGGUGUGGUAACGGCUCACCAAGGCUUUGACGGGUAGCUGGUCUGAGAGGACGACCAGUCACACUGGAACUGAGACACGGUCCAGACACCUACGGGUGGCAGCAGUCGAGAAUUUUUGACAAUGGGGGAAACCCUGAUCGAGCGACGCCGCGUGGAGGAUGAAGGUCUUCGGGUUGUAAACUCCUGUCAUUUGGGAACAAGUCGUAUGUAUUAACUGUACAUGCAUUGAUAGUACCAGAAGAGGAAGAGACGGCUAACUCUGUGCCAGCAGCCGCGGUAAUACAGAGGUCCCAAGCGUUGUUCGGAUUCAUUGGGCGUAAAGGGUGCGUAGGUGGCGUCGUAAGUCAGGUGUGAAAUCUCGGAGCUUAACUCCGA
This 483-nucleotide ribosomal RNA is filed under the name uncultured Verrucomicrobiota bacterium. RNAcentral describes it as "bacterial SSU rRNA". It matches the Rfam family "Bacterial small subunit ribosomal RNA", at positions 148 to 618 of the family's 1533-position model. Lineage: Bacteria; Pseudomonadati; Verrucomicrobiota. The record is from RNAcentral.